Molecule: ribosomal RNA, 304 nt
Filed under: uncultured bacterium
Lineage: Bacteria
Description: partial 16S ribosomal RNA
Rfam family: Bacterial small subunit ribosomal RNA
Source: RNAcentral
CAGCAGCCGCCGCGGGAAUACGUAGGUGGCAAGCGUUGUCCGGAAUUAUUGGGCGUAAAGGGCUCGCAGGCGGUUUCUUAAGCCUGAUGUGAAAGCCCCCGGCUCAACCGGGGAGGGUCAUUGGAAACUGGGAAACUUGAGUGCAGAAGAGGAGAGUGGAAUUCCACGUGUAGCGGUGAAAUGCGUAGAGAUGUGGAGGAACACCAGUGGCGAAGGCGACUCUCUGGUCUGUAACUGACGCUGAGGAGCGAAAGCGUGGGGAGCGAACAGGAUUAGAUACCCCAGUAGUCCCUGUCUCUUAUAC